Molecule: unclassified non-coding RNA, 213 nt
Filed under: Hevea brasiliensis (rubber tree)
Lineage: Eukaryota; Viridiplantae; Streptophyta; Magnoliopsida; Malpighiales; Euphorbiaceae
Source: RNAcentral
AGGUCAUAAUAUGCAGGUAGGAAAUACUGUUUUCUUCUCUAGAUAUGUUUCGCUGACUUUGGUCUCAAGCAUUUUCUACUUCUCAAAACUUAAGAGCAUCAUAUGUUAUACAUAGUAGAAUAAGUAUCUAACAUACUUGCACCGAAAAGUGUAGUCUAACGACCAAUGAAGUUGAUGCGAGCAUUGGAGACUGGGGUUUGAGUCCUCUUACUU